RNAcentral lists this long non-coding RNA (5974 nucleotides) under Equus caballus (horse). RNAcentral describes it as "lncRNA (ENSECAG00000051445.1)". Lineage: Eukaryota; Metazoa; Chordata; Mammalia; Perissodactyla; Equidae. The record is from RNAcentral.
GCAGCCAAGGCAGCAUAAAAGUGGCUUUGAGCUCAGUCAGGGAGCACCUGAGUUGCCUUUGAUAAGAUUGUCCUUUGGGUGAUUAUUUAAAGGGUCAGGAGAGGAAAAAUGAUCAUGAGAAAUAGAGGUGUUAGGACUAGAGCUCUUGUGGGGGCUUUCAUUCUGUCUCCCUUGACAGUGUUUGUCAACUCUUGGUGUGCUGGCCUGAGGUGUGUGUCUCCCCACAUUGCAGAAUUGGGUCAGCCCCUCAGGGAUGUGCCUCCUGGUCCCAGCCCUUGGGUUUCCAGCAUUCAGGGCGGGGCCAACUAGUUCCCUGCGGCCCAGGACCCCUUUGAUGUGUGGGUCAGUGUGGGAGGGAGACUAGGGUGGAAAUAUGUGUUUUCCUAUCAAAAUUCCUCAUUGAUGAUUCACUGCCAGAUGUCCCCAACGCCCCCAGCUGCUCUGUCCCCUGAAGUCACUCCCUGGGGAUGAGCACUCCUGAUGCCUGGUCCUCAGCCCUGCAUUGCUUCCUGGCUGGGGAGGGAGGAGCAGCCCCAGAAAGUGUGCUCUGAGUCUCUGCUUGCCAAAAGAAGGCAUGGAGAGUUGCUUUGCAGGCCUCUCAGACCAGCCAGCUGUGCAGAGGGAGCCCCAAGCUAAAAACAGUUUGAAUUUGACUGCCUCUGGCCGGAUCCCCCAGUACCCACCAUUCCCUAUUGUCUCCCACUCAGCUGAACAUAGUUAUCUGGGUUCUUGGCUGGGCCCUGGCCCCACUGAGAUCACUGGAGCUGUGCUCCUGUGGAGAUUGUGGCAGAUUUGCACAGCGACACCUACGAUCCCAUUGCCCCCGCUCCUCUGCUGGGUCCCUUGGGCUGAGGGUGUGCUCGGCUGCACCGCUGCCUGGCCUGCGGGGGAUGGCAUCUUGCUUCUAGCCCGUGGGAGGCAGUGUGGCCUUCCUUCCAAGCCAGACUCAGACAACUGGGCAGCCAUGCUGCCAGGCCCUGUCCCCGAGGCCUUGGAGCUGAGGGAAGUCCCUGGGUGUCUGCGGAGCAGGCGGCCUCCGUCUGGACGCCCAGGCCUUUCAGCUGUUGAGCCCCAGUUGGAAGAGGCAUUCCAGGGACAUUCCUUCUGUCUGGAGCGGGGACUUGGCCCGAAUUGUGAACCAAAAACCGGAAUGAACUGCACCAGUUUGCUCAACCUCGAAACAAAUCCAAAUAUUGUUUAUAUCACCGAGAACCAAACCAGAGUUCUGGGGCUGGGUUUGGUUUGUUUUCCCACCAGAGAACAUUUAGUGAAGGAGGCUCAGCUGGAGCAGGACUCGUCCACCUCCUCAGGCAACACCGAGGGAACACGAGCCUCGCCUCGCCAUGGGUUUUAGACUUGGUAGGCUGGAAACCUUAGAAGGCAGGGUUAGGUCUGCAGAGACGGCACGAGGUCGACUCCAGGAGGGAGAGGCUAUGGUGGCUGACCUCUGUGCAGGAGACAGGGCAGAGUCGCAUGCUCACGUCUCUGUGGAUGGGGCUGUGUGGUGUGGUUGGCCCAGAAAAUUACUACCACGCAGCCACGAUGAGUACAGGAUGCCAAAGGUCAGUCAGUAGGCAUUUGUGUAGUUCCUGGCACCACGCUGAGGCAGACCCAAAAGAAAUCCCAAAGGCAAGACCUGUGCUCUCUGGGAGCCCAUGGUACACUGUGGGGCUGUGUGUGACACCACACUUUACUGAAGAGAAGCUGUAAUAGCUUAAAUGGUGUACCCUCCAAAUUUAUAUCCACCUAAAAACCUGGAAUGUGACUUUAUCGGAAAUAGGGUCUUUGCAGAUGUCCUUAGUUAAGGAUCUCAGGUUGAAAUCAUCCUGGAUUUAGGAUGGGCCCGAAAUCCAAUGACUGGUGUCCUUAUAGUAGGAGGAGAGGACACAGAGACACAUGGGGAGAAGAAUGCCAUGUGAAGACAGAGGCCGAGAUGGGAGUGAAGCAGCCACAAGCCAAGGAAUGCCUGGGGCCACCAAAAGCUGGAGAAAGCAAGGAAGGACUCUCCCAUUGUGGCUUUGGAGGAACUGCGGCCCUGUUGGCUCCGGAUUUCAGACUUCCAGCCUGAACUGUGUGGAGAAUACGCAUCUAUUGUGUUCAAGCCAUUGACUUUGUGAUAAUUCGUUAUGGCAACCCCAGGAAACUCAUACGCAAGUCCCUGAGACAACAACGGCCUGUCACACCCACACCUCCUGUCUGAGGAAAAGUGGUGUCCUCUGUAUAAUUAGCCACAUUUGUGUCAUGUGACCCUGCUACCCUGAUCACACACGACUGGACCAAGCAUUGAUUGGCUGGACAUGGGAGGAUGUCCACCCAUGUGGUGCCUGGCCACCCUAGAUUGGAGGGGGCUUCUGCCAAGGUGUCCUUUGCAAAAGGGGGCACACACGCCAAGUAGGGUGUUGGUGGGAACCGCGAUAUGGAGCCGUGAAGCAGAAACCAUGAGAUAAGCAGAGCAGGAGAGAGAGAGAGGGAGAGAAGGGGGGAGGGAGGGAGGACAUGUUGAGGGGGCAGUGUCACCAGAGUCAGCAGCCACAAUGUCACCCCUCUGAGGGGACAGGUCACUGCUACAUUCUACAAGAAGCCUGAGUCUGAUACUGUGACUGCAUUUACUUCCUGGGCCCCUUUACUUCCUCUGGAUUCUUACGAUUCAUCCUCAAGUCCCAAGAGAACCUCGGCGCCUCUAUUCCCGGCCACCUGAAACCGCCCAACCAAAGCACAACACAAGUGAGACCACCACAGAGAUAUAGGAACUCACGUACAGUUGUGUUUAAUCCAAGGCCCGCCCAUAUACACUACUUCCUGGCUCUGUUACCCGGUGCAGGUUGCUUAACCUCUCUGCAUCCUGAUGUCCUCAUCUAUCAAAUGGGGUUAAUGCCACCCUUCAGAGGCUUUUGUGAGGAUGAAAUAAGCUAUAGAAAGUGAAACAUCUGCAACAGUGCCUGGCACACAGCAUACCCUCCAUAGUUUCCUUCCCUUCAAGUGACAGCAGUUCAGAGACUGGACUUGGAGCAGUUCAGAGACUGGACUUGGGUCUGGGUCUAUAGUGUUGGAAACAGACACAUUUCCAGUUUGAACCAGUCUGGCAAGUGGAAUUUUGAAAAUGCUUGGGUAGGGUUCAGUUCAGGGUUCGAUAACAAAAUUUAAGUUUAGUUUGGUUGGAAAUUUAGCAAAUGAGUGUGGUUUUGCGUCCUCCUUGCCUUUUGUUUGUUUGUUUAUGACUGGAUUCAGCUGGUGUCCCUGAAGAACCUAUCCGUAUAGCAUUAAUUUAGUCAGUAGAAGUCUUGCAGAAACAGAUUUGGGGAACCCACUAGCCUGCCAGAACAUUUGCGAGCUUAUCAAACAUAUUUUACAAAUCUGAUAAUGCUUAAUACAUUGUUGGCCCUCACCUGUAUGCAGCCAAAUCUGUAGGGGCCUGACCACGUUUGCUGAUGCUGUGCCAUUCUCUGCUCCUCCAGCUCUGAGGCCUCUGUCCAUCCCCCAGUUCCUUAAGAGAACAAAGAACAUGAGAUUUUUUUAAAUGUUGGCACGUGAAAUCAUUUUCACAGAGACUUAAGAAAAACAAAGGAGAUUCUGGGCAAAACAGAUGAUAUUAUCUGAUGCAGCAUCUUUUGUCUUCUGAAGGCUGAAAUGUGUCUCCAGUCCUGCGCCGUAGUUUUCCUCCGUUCUCUCCUCCGGGCCUAUCUCCUCUUCCUGACAGUCGCGCUCAGCAGGCUGUUCCUUGGCUGAGCAGCUCCCUCGGUGGGUCUCCUCCAGCACACACGUCCUGGGCUGAUCCCCUGGUGCUGGGCUCCCGGCGAAGCUGGUGGAGGCUGUGAGAAGGAGAGACGAGGCCGAUGUGAAUGGCUGAGAGUACCAGUGUUAGCCUGUGAGGGGCCGCGGGGCAGGAAAGGAGGAUGCACAUGGGGGCUGCAAGGGGUGAUGCAGGGUUUUCUUUCCUUUAUAAAAAGAAGAUCUGUGGCAAAUAGGGUGUAAAUUAAGACUCGAUGAAAUUGGUUAGAGGUUACAAGGUAUGUGCUAAUAUACUCCAGACUUGCCUAUAGGUUUGAAAUAUCUUAUAAUAAAGCUUGGUUUAAAGAAUACUUGUGAAGAGAAGUUUUGGACUUCAAGAGAAAAAAAAAUAAAAGAAUUUGCUGUGUUAAGAAAGUCUUUACUGGCAGUCUGUACAGAGUUUGCCCUUUGUAAGGGGCAACUUAGGUAUUGAAGCAUGCAUUUGAACCACUGACCGCCUGUGCCUGUCAUGAGCUCAAGGUUGAAAGGCUGUUUCCUCCAGGUGGAGCCGUGUGUCUAACCCACUGACACAAUGUGGACCCUUGAAGGGUGUGACCCUGUGUGAAAGUGUUUUCAAAUGGGGCCUUCUUUGUGGGGGCAUUUUGUAUUCUUUCCAUCCAGAGCCAGUUUAUUUCUCAAGAUUGUUCCCUGCUGGAUAGAAAGAGACGUAUUUGUGCGACCAUUGUCCCUUGGGAGGACACUGGUGCCUUGGGGUCUGUGGCCAGUGUGGAGAUUGUCCUUGAGGUUCCAGAACGACUGUGUGUCUCCAGAGGUGCCUGCCCUCCUCCUGCACGGCGGCGUCUGUUGGUGCGCCCGGAUUCACGCGUAGUCCCUGGAGCCCGCGGUGGGCUGGGCAGUGCGCUCACGUCAGCUCCGAGGCCAGGCUGGCUUUCAUUUGGUUCUGAGAUGGUUGAGGACCAGGGCAGUGCUAUUUAUGGAGCCUUGAACUGCUUCCUUAUGACCCAGUGCUGUUCGGUUGUUUUUGGUUUCUCUGUUGAGGUAUAUAAUUACCCUUUCCUUGGCUGUGAGCUUUCAGAAUACUGAGGCCACAAGGACCUCCUACAACCCGCGGUGACCUGUUUGACUUUCUCGAGGGAGCUGCCUGGUGAUCCUAGCCGGUCCUGCGGCAGCACCAAAGGGCUGUGUGUGCGGUGGCAAUCUGGAAGUCAGAGGGCGGCUGUCUUGUCUGGGCUUGUCUUGUCACUUGAACGAACUGCUUUUUUCUCAUCCUUCUCAUGGCGAUGAUAGUAUUCAAAUCAACGUGUUGCUGAGUAAAUGAAAGAGCCCCCAGUGGCCAAAGCUGGAACAAUUUGAGGAACAAAUAAAUAAAGGAGAAUUGCAUUAUAACCUAAAUUGUAAAAUAUUUCCGUGAGUCCAUAUUGAUAUAAACAGAUGAUAGAUGGAUUAGUAAAUGGGGGACAAGAGGCAAAUCUCCCAUGCAGAUUAAUUAAUCAGUUUAUGGAGAUAUUUCAUUCUAAAGGAAGGGCGCAUAACUCCCCACCCCUCAAGUGUGGGCUGCACAGAGCAACUUCCUUCUCAAGAAGACGCUAGGCAAAGGGGAGAAAAGAGGACCUCUCCAGUGGAGAGCCCUGACGAACGCUGUGCCUGCAAGGUGGUCAAGGUCGACAUCAGCAAUCGUGUCAUGCUGACAGCAGGUACCCUUGAUGUGUUGUCAUGACAAUAGCACUUUGCGUCUGUGAUCUUCCUCCCCCAAACCCAUACUGUCAAUCUAAUCAUGAGAAAAACGCCAAGCAUCCCAUUAGGAGGUAUCCUGCACUAUAGCUGACUGUGUCCCUCACAACCGUCAAGGUCGUCAGACACAAGGCAAGACUGAGAAACUGUUGCAGCCAAGAGAAACCUACGGAGACACGACAGCUUAGUGGAAUAUGGCAUCCUGGAUGGGAUCCUGGAACUGGAAAAGGACAUUAGCUUCAAACCAAGGAAAUCUGAAUAAAUGAUGGAAUUUAGUCAAUAAUAAGGUAUCAAUAUUGGUUCAUUAAUUGUGACAAAUGUACCAUACUGAUGUAAGAUACUAAUAUUAGGGGACCUGUGUGUGGGAGGUGGAGGAGUAUGUGGGAACUCUGCAGCAUCUUUGCAAUCUUUCUGUAAAUCUAAAACUGUUCUAAAAAAUAAAGCCUAUGAAUUUAAAAAAUUUAAAGAAAAUAGAUGUUUAUAGCAAACAUUUGUGUUCAACACAUACAUAAAU